GAUGAACGCUGGCGGCGUGCCUAAUACAUGCAAGUCGAGCGAACGGACGAGAAGCUUGCUUUUCUGAUGUUAGCGGCGGACGGGUGAGUAACACGUGGAUAACCUACCUAUAAGACUGGGAUAACUUCGGGAAACCGGAGCUAAUACCGGAUAAUAUUUUGAACCGCAUGGUUCAAAAGUGAAAGACGGUCUUGCUGUCACUUAUAGAUGGAUCCGCGCUGCAUUAGCUAGUUGGUAAGGUAACGGCUUACCAAGGCAACGAUGCAUAGCCGACCUGAGAGGGUGAUCGGCCACACUGGAACUGAGACACGGUCCAGACUCCUACGGGAGGCAGCAGUAGGGAAUCUACCGCAAUGGGCGAAAGCCUGACGGAGCAACGCCGCGUGAGUGAUGAAGGUCUUCGGAUCGUAAAACUCUGUUAUUAGGGAAGAACAUAUGUGUAAGUAACUGUGCACAUCUUGACGGUACCUAAUCAGAAAGCCACGGCUAACUACGUG
This 497-nucleotide ribosomal RNA is filed under the name uncultured bacterium. Its description in RNAcentral is "partial 16S ribosomal RNA". It matches the Rfam family "Bacterial small subunit ribosomal RNA", at positions 28 to 507 of the family's 1533-position model. The record is from RNAcentral.